AUUGAACGCUGGCGGCAUGCUUUACACAUGCAAGUCGAACGGCAGCGCGGGCUUCGGCCUGGCGGCGAGUGGCGAACGGGUGAGUAAUGCAUCGGAACGUGCCCAGUAGUGGGGGAUAGCCCGGCGAAAGCCGGAUUAAUACCGCAUACGACCUGAGGGUGAAAGCGGGGGAGCGAAAGGCCUGGCGCUGGUGGAGCGGCCGAUGUCGGAUUAGCUAGUUGGUGGGGUAAAGGCUUACCAAGGCGACGAUCCGUAGCUGGUCUGAGAGGGUGAGCACACACAGUGGGGCUGCGAUACGGCCAAGACGCCAACGGGAGGCAGGAGUGGAGAAGAUGGCACUGUGGGCGGAAGUCUGAUGCAGCAACGCCGCGUGCGGGAAGACGGCGGGGGGGUUGUAAACCGCUUUAGCCUGUGACGAAGCGGGAGUGACGGUACUGGGUAAAGAAGCACCGGCUAACUACGUG
Molecule: ribosomal RNA, 464 nt
Filed under: uncultured bacterium
Lineage: Bacteria
Description: partial 16S ribosomal RNA
Rfam family: Bacterial small subunit ribosomal RNA
Source: RNAcentral